UCGACUGUAUACUUUUUGUACUUUGAUG
This 28-nucleotide small RNA is filed under the name Bombyx mori (domestic silkworm). RNAcentral's name for it is "piRNA piR-bmo-1939114". Lineage: Eukaryota; Metazoa; Arthropoda; Insecta; Lepidoptera; Bombycidae. The record is from RNAcentral.